Molecule: ribosomal RNA, 164 nt
Filed under: Muenchhusia laevis
Lineage: Eukaryota; Viridiplantae; Streptophyta; Magnoliopsida; Malvales; Malvaceae
Also listed under: 4 other names
Description: Hibiscus laevis 5.8S ribosomal RNA
Rfam family: 5.8S ribosomal RNA
About the family: 5.8S ribosomal RNA (5.8S rRNA) is a component of the large subunit of the eukaryotic ribosome.
Source: RNAcentral
AAAACGACUCUCGGCAACGGAUAUCUCGGCUCUCGCAUCGAUGAAGAACGUAGCGAAAUGCGAUACUUGGUGUGAAUUGCAGAAUCCCGUGAACCAUCGAGUCUUUGAACGCAAGUUGCACCCCAAGCCAUUAGGCCGAGGGUACGUCUGCCUGGGUGUCACGC